This 274-nucleotide ribosomal RNA is filed under the name uncultured bacterium. RNAcentral describes it as "partial 16S ribosomal RNA". It matches the Rfam family "Bacterial small subunit ribosomal RNA", at positions 523 to 796 of the family's 1533-position model. The record is from RNAcentral.
AUACGGAGGGUGCAAGCGUUAAUCGGAAUUACUGGGCGUAAAGCGCGCGUAGGCGGAUAUUUAAGUCUCAUGUGAAAGCCCUGGGCUCAACCUGGGAACUGCAUGGGAUACUGGGUAUCUAGAAUACAGUAGAGGGUAGUGGAAUUUCAGGUGUAGCGGUGAAACGCGUAGAGAUCUGAAGGAACAUCAGUGGCGAAGGCGACUACCUGGACUGAUAUUGACGCUGAGGUGCGAAAGCGUGGGGAGCAAACGGGAUUAGAUACCCUAGUAGUCC